This 205-nucleotide ribosomal RNA is filed under the name Suhomyces tanzawaensis. RNAcentral's name for it is "partial 26S ribosomal RNA". It matches the Rfam family "Eukaryotic large subunit ribosomal RNA", at positions 1 to 210 of the family's 3401-position model. The record is from RNAcentral. Lineage: Eukaryota; Fungi; Ascomycota; Pichiomycetes; Serinales; Debaryomycetaceae.
GACCUCAAAUCAGGUAGGACUACCCGCUGAACUUAAGCAUAUCAAUAAGCGGAGGAAAAGAAACCAACAGGGAUUGCCUCAGUAACGGCGAGUGAAGCGGCAAAAGCUCAAAUUUGAAAUCUGGCCUCUGGUCCGAGUUGUAAUUUGAAGAAGCGACUUUGGUACCGGCUCUUGUCUAUGUUCCUUGGAACAGGACGUCACAGAG